GGAUUCCCCUAGUAACGGCGAGUGAAGAGGGAAUAGCCCAGCACCGAAUCCCCCGGCCGUGUCGUCGGUGGGAACUGUGGUGUUUGGGAGUGUCUCUGGGGCGGCUGGUGUUGUGUUCGAGUCCUCCUGAUCGGGGCUUGACCCAGAGAGGGUGUAAGGCCUCUACAGCACUCACCUCCGUCUCUAUGGCGCUCCCCGGAGUCGGGUUGUUUGAGAUUGCAGCCCAAAGUGGGUGGUAAACUCCAUCUAAGGCUAAAUACAAGCGCGAGACCGAUAGCGAACAAGUACCGUGAGGGAAAGUUGAAAAGCACUUUGAAGAGAGAGUUGGACAGUACGUGAAACCGUUUACAGGUUAAACGGAUGGGACCGCAAUGUCGACGGCGGGGAUUCAGGCUGCUGGGUCUGGCUGGAUUGGGUUUGGUGAUCGUCAAAACACCAUCCUGUCUUUGCUCGGACUUUGGUAGACGCACUUCCCCGUCGGAGAGCGCCACGACCGCUUGCUUGGCAGUCAGAAGCCUCCUGGUCAAGGUAGCCCCUUCCUUCGCGGGACGGGGUGCUUAUAGGUCUGGGAAUUCGGCUGGCCUGCUGGGCGAGUGAGGAACUCGGGCCGCACGCUUUCGGUCUGCGCCGCCGGUUUGGUGUUCGACUAGCGAGGACUGCUUGCAGUGCUUGCUGACCGCACUGGCUGGGUCGGGUGUGGAGCUCGGAGGCGUGCCGAAGGGUCAGUGGUGAUUGAUCGGCACCCUAUCCGACCCGUCUUGAAACACGGACCAAGGAGUCUAACAUGUGCGCAAGUCAAAGGGCGUUACGAAACCCCAGGGCGAAAUGAGAGUGAAUGAAGGUUUAAAACCCUUCUGAGGUGUGAUCCCGGCUUUUGCUGGCUGGGCGCAACACCGGCCCGUCUCAUACCCUUCAAUGUGGUGGAGGCGGAGCUAGAGCGUACACGUUGGUACCCGAAAGAUGGUGAACUAUGCUUGAGUAGGUUGAAGCCAGAGGAAACUCUG
This 1004-nucleotide ribosomal RNA is filed under the name Apomatus globifer. RNAcentral describes it as "partial 28S ribosomal RNA". It matches the Rfam family "Eukaryotic large subunit ribosomal RNA", at positions 72 to 866 of the family's 3401-position model. The record is from RNAcentral. Lineage: Eukaryota; Metazoa; Annelida; Polychaeta; Sabellida; Serpulidae.